GUAAAACUGAUUUUUAGGAACAAAACAUUAUAAUUUUAAUUUUCAAAAAACUUAAAAAUUUAAUUGAAAUUUUGCUGAAAAAAAAAAAAAUUAAUACAAUAUAAAAAAAAGUGAAAGAAAUGUGUGUGUGGUAUAAAAGUGAGCACAAAAAUGUGGAAGAACAAUGAGUAAAAACUUUCAAAAAAAAAAAACAAAAAAUAAAUGUAUAAAUGGGUUCAAUGAUAUUUGUACAUGAUGAUGAUGGUAGUAAUGAUGGUGAUGAUGAUUAUGAUGAUAAAAUGAUAUUGUCCUUAGUUAAUAUGUAUAUAAACACGCAUAUAUGGAACACUGACGGAGAGCAAAUUUUUGGGAACAAAAAGCACACAAAAAAAUCAUUAAUUUCAAACAAUUUUAUAAUUUGGAAAUCAUAAGUGCACUCAAAUUGCGAUAGUGGGUACCCAAAUGCUGCUUAUUAUCAUGUCUAAAAUCCAUGUCAAUUUGCUAUUUCAUCACUUACACAAGUUGUAUAUCCUGACAUAUAACACAUUUGUGUUACACAGCUGAAUUGUAACACUGGCUUACAUGUGAAGAGCUAAUAUUAAGGGAAAAGAUCGCAAUAUCAAAAUUUAUUUGGAUCGUAAUAUGAUAUAAACCCUACAAAUUAUUGAAUGCAACAAAAAUGGAAGAAUGCAAGAAAAUUGGAAAGAUGCAAGAUGACUGAAAGAGUUGAUUGAAAGACAAAAGAUGAUUGGAAUUUUCCAAAAAUUAAAAAUAGUUAAAAUUCAUACGAAAAAAUAGAAGAAGUAAAGGAAUUCAGUCAAAUACAUUACUGAUUAUGCCUGAAAUUUGGAUAAUAUUCACAAUAUUACAAUGACCGAUGCAAAAUAUUACAGUAGAGGCGAACCUAUACGAGGCAAAGUCGGAGAUUAUAAACCAUAAAUUUAAUGAAUGUAUGUAAGUAACACAAAUAUUAAAAUUAAGCUAUUUUAUACCAUUAAAGAAGGGGAAUUAAGUUAUUAAAAAAGAAGAAUUUAUUGGGGUUAAGGAAAUAUCCUUUUAUAAAAUAUGUAUGUAUUAAGAUUCAUGUUAGGUUAUACAUACUCUUUAAAUAGAAAGAGCUGUUUUGAUAUAGUUAAAUAGUGUAAUUAAUUUUAAUUUAAUUGACCGAGUCAGCUCUGUGAUACCCGUACGAAUGAAUGAUUUAAAGAUAAUUGUGAAUGAUAUUUUUCAUUAUGCUUCCAGACACCGUUAUGUUGUGUUACCACAUAAACUAGUACAGCCUCAAAUA
Long non-coding RNA from Condylostylus longicornis, 1267 nucleotides. RefSeq lists it as uncharacterized. The transcript is spliced from 3 exons. The record is from RefSeq and is a predicted model, not a curated record. Lineage: Eukaryota; Metazoa; Arthropoda; Insecta; Diptera; Dolichopodidae.